AUGGGCUGCCAAAGAUGCAAGCGGAGGGAUGAGCUCGACUACUGCAAUCUGGAUGACCGGGAGAAGCAUUUCCUGAUGUUUAUGGUGGAUGGCUGUGGUCGUGAGAUGACCAUCCCAGAUGAUUUUCUGAAACGAUUCAGGGGUGAGAUCCCAAAAGAGAUCAAGCUAGAAACACGAAAUGGUCAUAUUUACACUGUUGGAGUUGCCAAGUAUCCAGAUAAACUAGUCCUUAGAGCAGGAUGGGAGACCUUCGUCGAAACCUAUGAUCUACGGAUCGACGACUCUGUGGUAUUUCGAUACAAUGGAAAUUCGCAGUUCAAUGUCAUAGUGUUUGAUCAAUUUGGCCGUGAGAAAGCAUCGUCCGUUGUUGUAGACAGUGCUCCUCUGUAUCCUUAUGUGCAGGAAAGGCAAAGAGGUGCUCCUGAAACUCAUGGUCAUUCUCAGCCCCAUGAAAUGCAAUCUCCUACUGAAAAUAUGAAUAUUUCUCAAGGGCAUCCUCAGCUCAUGCGUGUGCAGCCGCAUACUGAUAACAUGAGCCGUUCUCAAGGGCAUGCUCAUCAUGUGCAAAUGCAACUGCCUAUUGACAAUAUGAGACGUUCUGAAGGGCAUCCUCAGCCCAUACAAAUGCAACCGCCUAGUGCAAAUGUGGACCAUUUUGUUGAUGAUAGUCAGCACAUGCAAAUGCAGCCACCUAGUGCAAAUGUGGACCAUUUUGUUGAUCAUAGUCAGCACAUGCAAAUGCAGCCACCUACUGAGACUCUGAAUCGUUCUAAUUGCCAUCCUCAGUCCCGGCAAAUGCAGCUGACAUGUGCUGAGAGACAGUCAAAUCUUCAGAGGAAUAAAUUAAAUCAGGGCAACAAGAGCGUGGCGAGUUCUUCAGGUGGUUCUUUGUGCUCAGAAGAUGGUACUAAUUUAUGUGAUACAUCUAGAUACACGCUUGGGUGGAACACCCGUCUAGAUCCAGUGCAGAAGGAGAAAGUUGACCAGGAGAUCCAACAUAUCUCAUCUGACAAUCCAAUCUUUGUGGCCAUGAUGAGCAAGUGCAAUGUUACAGGAACUUUCACCCUAAGUGUGCCCAAAGAAUAUGUCAAGCGACAUGUGGGAGAUACGGAGCGCAACAUAUGUCUUCAGCGCCUUGGCAAGGGGUGGGAAGUGCAGUUUGGUGGUAGGCCUGAAGAGAAAAGGAUUAUAUCUGGCUGGCGGAGGUUUGUAAAGGACAAUGAUGUUGAGAUGGGUGAUAUCUGCAUUUUUGAAUUGUUGAAGAAAUGUAAGAUGUGCACGAUGGAAGUCCAUAUCAUCCAUACAAAGGAUAUUGAUACGCCUUCCAAAAUUUGUCAGCAAAGGCACAGAGAGGUUGUUAAAAUUAUGGAACAUUCUCAUUCUCUCCCCCAGCUUAAGGAAAUGCAACUGCAUAAUGAAACAGUGGAAGAUACUAUCGUUCAUCCCGAGCCUGUGCAAAUACAACUACCUUCGUUGGAAAGACGGAUACAACUUCAAAGGGACAAGUCUAGUCAGGGCAGCAAGAGAGAUUCCUUGUCAUCGGAAGAUAUUGAUCAUGAAGAAGGUGCUUUGUCUGAUUGCAUCCUUGCACGUUUUACGCGCCUUACUACAGAUCAGAAGAAGGCAGUGAAAGAGAAGGUUCAAUUUAUUGAUUCUGAAACUCCCAUCUUUGUUGCCAUGAUGCAACAAACCAAUGUUACUGGAAGAUACACUCUAAGCAUCUCUAAGAAAUAUAUCAACAAGUAUUUGGGAGAUGAGGUGCAGAGCAUCUGUCUUGAGCGACUUGGCGAGAGGUGUCAAGUGUGGUUUGGACGCAAGCCUCAGGAUAAAAGGAUUGUAGGCGGAUGGACAAAGUUUGUGAAAGCCAAUGAGGUGGAGGUGGGUGAUAUCUGCCUCUUCGAGCUGCUGAAGCAUCGGAAAUUGUGCGCCAUGAAAGUUCAUAUCAUCCGCGCGAAGGACUUCAGUUGA
RNAcentral lists this ribosomal RNA (1968 nucleotides) under Triticum aestivum (bread wheat). Its description in RNAcentral is "partial small subunit ribosomal RNA". Lineage: Eukaryota; Viridiplantae; Streptophyta; Magnoliopsida; Poales; Poaceae. The record is from RNAcentral.